Molecule: ribosomal RNA, 857 nt
Filed under: uncultured bacterium
Lineage: Bacteria
Description: bacterial SSU rRNA
Rfam family: Bacterial small subunit ribosomal RNA
Source: RNAcentral
GUGUUAUUUAGUGGCGAACGGGUGCGCAACACGUGGGCAAUCUGCCGAGAAGUGGGGGAUAGCUCGCCGAAAGGCGGAUUAAUACCGCAUAUGAUCAGGGACGACAUCUUCCCAACAUCAAAGCCGGGGUAACCUGGCGCUUCUUGAUGAGCCCGCGGCCUAUCAGCUAGUUGGUGAGGUAACGGCUCACCAAGGCUAUGACGGGUAGCUGGUCUGAGAGGACGACCAGUCACACUGGAACUGAGACACGGUCCAGACACCUACGGGUGGCAGCAGUCGAGAAUUUUUCUCAAUGGGGGCAACCCUGAAGGAGCGACGCCGCGUGGAGGAUGAAGGCUUUCGGGUUGUAAACUCCUGUCAUUUGAGAACAAGUGUAGCUAAGUAACUACUGGCUACUUGAUAGUAUCAGAAGAGGAAGAGACGGCUAACUCUGUGCCAGCAGCCGCGGUAAUACAGAGGUCUCAAGCGUUGUUCGGAUUCAUUGGGCGUAAAGGGUGCGUAGGUGGCGGGGUAAGUCAGGUGUGAAAUUUCGGAGCUCAACUCCGAAACUGCAUUUGAUACUGCCUUGCUUGAGGACUGGAGAGGAGACUGGAAUUUACGGUGUAGCAGUGAAAUGCGUAGAGAUCGUAAGGAAGACCAGUGGCGAAGGCGGGUCUCUGGACAGUUCCUGACACUGAGGCACGAAGGCCAGGGGAGCAAACGGGAUUAGAUACCCCGGUAGUCCUGGCAGUAAACGGUGCACGUUUGGUGUGGGGGGAUUCGACCCCUCCCGCGCCGGAGCUAACGCGUUAAACGUGCCGCCUGGGGAGUACGGUCGCAAGAUUAAAACUCAAAGAAAUUGACGGGGGCCCGCACAA